UUCCCGGACAGGGGACUCCCAGCCCCGACCGCUGCCGCUAGCGAGCAAAGCCACCGCGUCCAUCCCGAGGGCCGCGCGGGAGACGGCGUCGGAGCUCAGCAGGUCCGUUUGCUCCUGCCCCUCAGUCUUUCCGCAUCAGCCUUCAGCUGAAUCGGUGCGUUUGCCCGGUUCAAAAUAACCUCCUGUUUGGGGAGAAAUUGCUCUUCUCGCCCCCAGGAACCCCUCUGCAAGCUUCACCGAGAGACUGCAAACGGAGCUUAGUGCACGAUUAAAAUUCUCCCCUGCACUUGCCCUUUGCAAGGGAAGAGCGGGAGGUGCAGGACGGGGCUCCAACAUUUGCAUCGCUCUCAUACUAUUAUGCUUAAAUUAACAGGGAUUUUUUUGUAAAUUGAAGACUAAUUUUCUCUUGGGAGUAGAUCAUUAAAUUACAGAAUACUAAUGAAAAUUUACAGCGUCUGGAGAGGAGAUGGGGGAGGGGCAAAGGGGGCAUUUUGUUUGGUUUUUUUUUCCUUGGGACCCGGCGAACUAUGGCCGUAGCAGAGGGAAGGAGGCGGCCGYACCGCCGAGGAGCGCAGCAGCGGCGUGAGCAGCCUUGCAGAACCCACGGGCGAGCCCAGGGCCUCGGAGGAGCGAAGGACAGCAGGAAGCACCGCGGGGACGGGCAGUUGCAUCCCAGAAUCACCUUGAGAACGGAGGCCGUGCCGGCUGAUAAUUCCACUGAAUUAAUGAGCGAUUUGGCGAUCGCAGUUUGCCGUUGGCUUUGACUUAAUGUGUCUUACAGCACUGUUUAGAGUUAGUCUAGCAUAUUUUAAAGGCUCCUCCACACCUCCCGCCCCCCGUUCCAGCGCAGCGAAGAAAGCGCUGCACUAGGGACGGGAGCAGCGUGGGAGCCGCCGAGGGGACGGAGCCUGGUCCCGGCCGGCUGGGCGAAGGGGAGGACGGGGAAGCCUGGCCACACCGGCGAAGCCUCCCCGCGAGGCGUCCCUUCCCCGGGAUCGUGCCACCUCCGCGGCCCUGGGGAGGCACCAGGCUGAGCGGGGGGCGGAGAGGCUGAGGCUUCCUCGCUCCCUCCUAGACACACCAUCCUCUUUCCCGGAAUCAUUUUCCAAGGCGCUUUAAACCAAGGACGUGGGACACGCUGUACGCACCUGGCCCUCGGCGCUGACAGCUUGUAUCUGUGAGCUCGCCAGCAGCCAGAUGUUCCAGGGAGGCAAGGAAGAGCAGAUGCUGCACUGCAGAGUGCUGCGGGCGCGCUGCACGGCUCACAGCACGGGCACGGCCGAGCCGCGACUGCCACCGACGAGCAGCCUCCUGCCUUAAACGGGCCGGGAGAGAGGCUGGGGGGCCGGGAGAGGCUCUGAGAUCCCGCCGGCUGCUGGGAUCCCAGGCCUGUCACAGCUUUUCCUCCAGCUGAGAGCUGGAUCCACUCACACUGGCACGGCAAUACUGCUUUGCAAACGAUCCAGGAUCUUAUGAGAGCAAGGACCAGAGAGGGAUUUUCCUCCUUCUAACAGAAGGUGCCAACGUGCGAAUGCCAGGCGAGGCACCCUUGUCCCCCCGCACCGCGCGUUGCUUUGGGGAGCUCUGCCCGGGGCACCGCACUGCCGUGCAAGCGCUGGAGACUCCUUGGGAGCAGGACCAUUCAGCUGGGACAGAACCGAGACGUGUUCACGGGCCAGGAAAACAAAAGAUAAAUAACAUAACCAGGCAAAGCCUUGCCCUCCCUAGCAGGGUUU
Long non-coding RNA from Dromaius novaehollandiae (emu), 1736 nucleotides. NCBI's taxonomy places the organism in Eukaryota, Metazoa, Chordata, Aves, Casuariiformes, Dromaiidae. The record is from Ensembl.